CCUACGGGGGGCAGCAGUGGGGAAUAUUGGACAAUGGGGGCAACCCUGAUCCAGCCAUGCCGCGUGUGUGAAGAAGUCCCUCGGGUUGUAAAGCACUUUCAGUGAGGAAGAACGCCUGGUGGUUAAUACCCAUCAGGAAAGACAUCACUCACAGAAGAAGCACCGGCUAACUCCGUGCCAGCAGCCGCGGUAAUACGGAGGGUGCGAGCGUUAAUCGGAAUUACUGGGCGUAAAGCGCGCGUAGGUGGCUUGAUAAGCCGGUUGUGAAAGCCCCGGGCUCAACCUGGGAACGGCAUCCGGAACUGUCAAGCUAGAGUGCAGGAGAGGAAGGUAGAAUUCCCGGUGUAGCGGUGAAAUGCGUAGAGAUCGGGAGGAAUACCAGUGGCGAAGGCGGCCUUCUGGACUGACACUGACACUGAGGUGCGAAAGCGUGGGUAGCAAACAGGAUUAGAUACCCCAGUAGUC
RNAcentral lists this ribosomal RNA (465 nucleotides) under Vreelandella stevensii. Its description in RNAcentral is "partial 16S ribosomal RNA". It matches the Rfam family "Bacterial small subunit ribosomal RNA", at positions 338 to 795 of the family's 1533-position model. The record is from RNAcentral. Lineage: Bacteria; Pseudomonadati; Pseudomonadota; Gammaproteobacteria; Oceanospirillales; Halomonadaceae.